GGCUUCCGUGUCCCUGUGGCAGGCGGUGGUGGUCGAAAUCUCUGCCCCUCAGAGUCCUGGGGAGGAUGGAUGGAACAGGAGGAGCAUCAUGAGAAGGCUUCCUGUAAACUACGGAGGGUGAGGGGACGGAGCGUGAGGGAACGUCGUGAGAUGGCACAGCUUGCACACAGAAGAUUCUGAGUGGUGCCAAGGUGAAUAAAGAUGCCUAAGUAAGUAAGGAGCACAUCUUUAAUCCCAGCACUUGAAAGGCAGAGGCUGGCAGAUCUUUGUGAGUUUGAAACCACCCGGGACAGCCAGGGGCUAUGGAGAGAAACCUCGUCUCCCCACCACCUGCUUCCGAGAAAAACCUAAUAAAAUGGGACACCUCUGGGGUCCUGCUUAUUGUUCUUCUUGUGCACCCCUCUACCUCGAGACCCUCUCAAGUCACAGUAUGUGACUGUGACCUGCUGGCAUCCAGCUGGUGAUCAGUUCCAUGAGACUUCAAAUGGGAGCUCCAGAAGGAACAAUGACAAAGAUAAUGCCAGUGGUCCUUGAGAAGCCUGUGGUGUUGGCUACUGUUUCAGCUGAGAAGACUGUGGCGUCCUGUUGGCUACUGUUUCAGAGCUGAAAAGCACAACAGUUGCAGAGGCAUCCUAGGGCCAUCUCUCCUGCUCCCUGUUAGGCACUCAGGUGCUCGUGGAAGCCAGCAGAGGGUGUAGGGUCUCCUGGAGCCACAUCUCUGGAGUUACAUGAAGUUGUGGACCUCUCAACAUGGGUUCUGGGAACUGAACCCAGGUCCUCUGGAAGGACAUCGAGUGCUCUUAACCACUGAGCCAUCUCUGCAGCCUAACCCCAUCCCUUGGAGGCUGAAGCAAAGCAAGUUCAAUGACCGUGCGACCUGGCUCUUGUUUGGGCCUAAGGAAAAGCCGACUGUAAGCCGGGAAGCAUCUCUGGCAAGAACAAGGAAGGAUUAAGCACGUCUGUGGUUGUGCGCAGGGAUCACAAGGUGCUCCUGCAGUGGGAAGAGCCACCACUAGGGGCGCUCCAAGUCUUGUAUUUUCUACCUUGAAAACUCGUUUCCCUGUGGCUGCCCUCCAAAUCCAACGGAGAUGAAUGGCUUUUAGUUUACCUAGCUGAUUUAAUAAACUUUAAAAAUAAAUG
Molecule: long non-coding RNA, 1140 nt
Filed under: Mus musculus (house mouse)
Lineage: Eukaryota; Metazoa; Chordata; Mammalia; Rodentia; Muridae
Description: braveheart long non-coding RNA
Source: RNAcentral